GCCCCCGUAGCUCAGUUGGAUAGAGCGGUCGCCUCCUAAGCGACAGGCCACUGGUUCGAAUCCAGCCGGGGGUGCCA
RNAcentral lists this transfer RNA (77 nucleotides) under Candidatus Aphodomonas merdavium. RNAcentral describes it as "tRNA-Arg". It matches the Rfam family "tRNA". Rfam says of the family: Transfer RNA (tRNA) molecules are approximately 80 nucleotides in length. Their secondary structure includes four short double-helical elements and three loops (D, anti-codon, and T loops). Lineage: Bacteria; Bacillati; Bacillota; Clostridia; Eubacteriales. The record is from RNAcentral.